UUCAUUACGGGGAGUGGCCCCACCGUAUCCAACAUGGCAGCUUCUAUCUGGCGGAUCGCCGACGCCCACUUCCGGGUUCCGUACUGCUGGCCAGGCUACUUCCGGCAGCGCGAUGGCUGGGUUCCCGGGACUCGAACGGAAGUUCCGGCGGGGGCGGCCGAGGGGGAAGAGAGUGUGUCUGUGCAGGAGAAAGAGGAGAAUCGCCCGAGAGGUCUCGAAACCCCCAGGGAGUGGAGGCCCCAGCCGUGGAGCCCUGCAGUGUAUGUGUGGUAACACCAUGUCUGUGCCCCUGCUCACCGAUGCUGCCACUGUGUCUGGAGCUGAGCGGGAAACGGCUGCGGUUAUUUUUUUACAUGGACUUGGAGACACAGGGCACAGCUGGGCUGACGCCCUCUCCACCAUCCGGCUCCCUCACGUCAAGUACAUCUGUCCCCAUGCACCCCGGAUCCCUGUGACGCUCAACAUGAAGAUGGUGAUGCCCUCCUGGUUUGACCUAAUGGGGCUGAGUCCUGAUGCCCCAGAGGACGAGGCCGGCAUCAAGAAGGCAGCAGAGAACAUCAAGGCCUUGAUUGAACACGAGAUGAAGAAUGGGAUCCCUGCCAAUCGAAUCGUCCUGGGAGGCUUUUCACAGGGUGGGGCCCUGUCCCUCUACACGGCCCUUACCUGUCCCCACCCCCUGGCUGGCAUCGUGGCAUUGAGCUGCUGGCUGCCUCUGCAUCGGGCCUUCCCCCAGGCAGCCAAUGGCAGUGCCAAGGACCUGGCCAUCUUGCAGUGCCACGGGGAGCUGGACCCCAUGGUUCCAGUACGGUUUGGGGCCCUGACGGCCGAGAAGCUUCGGUCCGUCGUCACACCCGCCAGGGUCCAGUUCAAGACGUACCCAGGUGUCAUGCACAGCUCCUGCCCUCAGGAGAUGGCAGCCGUGAAGGAGUUUCUUGAGAAGCUGCUGCCUCCUGUCUAACCAGAGUCGCUGGCCCCCAGCGCAGGACCCCAGCUCCUGGGGGACGCAGCACGCGCGGCGCCAUCUCGGAUCUGAGCCGCUGCUUCUCAAUCAUGAAUGUGUCCAUGGCCCGGCCCCCGUGCUGCUGUGGGCUGCCUGCCCCUGGGCAGGGGUGUUGGUGAGGGGGCAGAGUCCUUCGAGGGGGGCCUUCCCUUAGGCCCCUGAAACGUGGGGGCUGGGCCCUGCCCCUCCCCGCCCCCCCCCCCCCCCAUUGCCCUGUUCUCCCCCGUAGGCCUGGAGCCUGCAGGGCUGGACUGAGGCUCAAAGUCUCCCCCCGCUGUCCCACUCCCACGUUGUCCCCACUCUAGGGCCAGGGGGGAGGUGGGGGAGUUGUGUCUCGUCUUCUGUCUCCAUGUGGUUUUGGGUGUUUUUCUUGUUGUAUCCUGGAUUCCGAUAAAAUUAAAUUGCUUCAACUCUCA
This is an RNA transcript of Panthera uncia (snow leopard), 1416 nucleotides long. It is a transcript of the gene named lysophospholipase 2, with no coding region annotated. The transcript is spliced from 11 exons. Lineage: Eukaryota; Metazoa; Chordata; Mammalia; Carnivora; Felidae. The record is from RefSeq and is a predicted model, not a curated record.